This is a long non-coding RNA of Mytilus californianus (California mussel), 3611 nucleotides long. RefSeq lists it as uncharacterized. Lineage: Eukaryota; Metazoa; Mollusca; Bivalvia; Mytilida; Mytilidae. The record is from RefSeq and is a predicted model, not a curated record. The transcript is spliced from 3 exons.
AACAGCAUAAUGUACUGCACAAAAGCAAAAAAUUGACAAUGUCCUCUACAAUGUCAUACAAACUGGUACAGUACAUCUACCACCAAUGACAGUGUCCCCUACAAUGUCAUAAAAACUGAAUCUUCGCUAGCCAAGGGUUACGAUCCACUUCCCUCCUCUCCACCCUUGGCAGAUUAAGCCAACAUUUGUGAUAACAAUGUUGCGCCAUCUAUCGGUAGAUUAAAGUCACACCCAUUCCGAAUACAUCAUUCUUGACCAAUGGUAACACUUGAACUCUUCAAUUUGGAGGUAGCGUCUAGAUUCUACACACUUGGUAAAGCAGGUAACGAAAAUAUACGUUGACAUUCAUGCAUUUGUGCAAGAAACAUACACAGGAAAUUCUAUUAAUUGAUUAAAAACAUUCAAAUUGUCACUAAGUAUAGGCGUAUAUUUAGGGAUGUAAAGACUUGUUGCACAAUAAGCACGUGCCAAUUGUUAACAUACACUUUCUACAUUUACACGUAAUCAUGUUAUAGGCACUUUUUGAUUGGAUGCAGCGAGUUUCAACUGCAACCAAUGAAAAUCAUUACCAUGUGUCUCCGAAAUUCUAUCUCAAUCCGCCAAGGGUGGAGAGGAGGAAAGUGGAUCGUAACCCUUGGCUAGCGAAGAUGUACAAACUGGUACAGUACAUUUACCACCAAUGACAGUGUCCCCAACAAUGUCAUACAAACUGGUACAGUACAUCUACCACCAAUGACAGUGUCCACUACAAUGUCAUACAGACUGGUACAGUACAUCUACCACCAAUGACAGUGUCCACUACAAUGUCAUACAAACUGGUACAGUACAUCUACCACCAAUGACAGUGUCCUCUACAAAGUCAUAAAAACUGGUACAGUACAUCUACCAACAAUGACAGUGUCCUCUACAAUGUCAUACAAACCGGUACAGUACAUCUACCAACAAUGACAGUGUCCUCUACAAUGUCAUACAAACCAGUACAGUACAUCCAUCAGAUGACAGUGUCCUCUACUAUGUCAUACAAACCAGUACAGUACAUCUACCACCAAUGACAGUGUCCUCUACAAUGUCAUACAAACUGGUACAGUACAUCUAUCACCAAUGACAGUGUCCUCUACAAUGUCAUACAAACCAGUACAGUACAUCCAUCAGAUGACAGUGUCCUCUACAAUGUCAAACAAACCGGUACAGUACAUCUACCACCAAUGAUAGUGUCCUCUACAAUUUCAUACAAACCGGUACAGUACAUCUACCACCAAUGACAUUGUCCACUACAAUCUCAUACAAACCGGUACAGUACAUCUACCACCAAUGACAUUGUCCACUACAAUGUCAUACAAACCGGUCCAGUACAUCUACCACCAAUGACAUUGUCCACUACACUGUCAUACAAACUGGUACAGUACAUCUACUACCAAUGACAUUGUCCACUACAAUGUCAUACAAACUGGUACAAUACAUCUACCACCAAUGACAGUGUCCUCUACAAUGUCAUACAAACUGGUACAGUACAUCUACCACCAAUGACAGUGUACCCUACAAUGUCAUACAAACUGGUACAAUACAUCUACCACCAAUGACAGUGUCCUCUACAAUGUCAUACAAACUGGUACAGUACAUCUACCAACAAUGACAAUGUCCCGUACAAAGUCAUACAAACUUGUACAGUACAUCUACCACCAAUGACAGUGUCCCCUACAAUGUCAUACAAACCGGUACAGUACAUCUACCACCAAUGACAGUGUCCUCUACAAUGUCAUACAAACUGGUACAGUACAUCUACCACCAAUGACAGUGUCUCCUACAAUGUCAUACAAACUGGUAUAGUACAUCUACCACCAAUGACAGUGUCCCCUACAAUGUCAUACAAACCGGUACAGUACAUCUACCACCAAUAACAGUGUCUCCUACAAUGUCAUACAAACCGGUACAGUACAUCUACCACCAAUGAUAGUGUCCUCUACAAUGUCAUACAAACCAGUACAGUACAUCUACCACCAAUGACAGUGUCUCCUACAAUGUCAUACAAACUGGUACAGUACAUCUACCAUCAAUGACAGUGUCCCCUACAAUGUCAUACAAACCAGUACAGUACAUCUACCACCAAUAACAGUGUCUCCUACAAUGUCAUACAAACCGGUACAGUACAUCUACAACCAAUGACAGUGUCCACUACAAUGUCAUACAAACCAGUACAGUACAUCUACCACCAAUGACAGUGUCCUCUACAAUGUCAUACAAACUGGUACAGUACAUCUACCACCAAUGACAGUGUCCACUACAAUGUCAAACAGACUGGUACAGUACAUCUACCACCAAUGACAGUGUCCUCUACAAUGUAAUACAAACCAGUACAGUACAUCUACCACCAAUGACAGUGUCCACUAAAAUGUCAUACAAACUAGUACAGUACAUCUACCACCAAUGACAUUGUCCACUACAAUGUCAUACAAACCAGUACAGUACAUCUACCACCAAUGACAGUGUCCUCUACAAUGUAAUACAAACCAGUACAGUACAUCUGCCACCAAUGACAGUGUCCACUACAAUGUCAUACAAACCAGUACAGUACAUCUACCACCAAUGACAGUGUCCACUACAAUGUCAUACAAACCAGUACAGUACAUCUACUACCAAUGACAGUGUCCACUACAAUGUCAUACAAACUGGUACAGUACAUCCAUCAGAUGACAGUGUCUUCUACAUUGUCGUACAAACCGGUACACUACAUCUACCACUAAUGACAGUGUCCCCUACAAUGCUUUUUAUAUGACCUCAAAAAAUUUGCGUCGUAUAUUGUUAUCAUGUUGUCGUCGUUUGAAGACACAUUUGGUUUCUGAACAAUAACUUUAGUUUAAGUGAAUGGAUCUCUAUUUUUCUAUACCAGAAGGUUCAAUACCACAAAUGGAAGGUUGGGAUUGAUUUUGGGGGUUAUGGUACCAACAGUUAAGGAAUUAGGGGCCAACAAGGGGCCAAAAAUAAGCAUUUUCUAGUUUCCAGACAAUAACUGUGGAACGGUGUAUGGAUCUCUCUGAAAUUAUACUAUAAGUUUCCAUACCACAAAGGGAUGGUUAGGAUUUGCUUUGGGGGGUUAUGGCUCAAACCGUUUAGGAAUUAGGGGCAAAAAAGGGGGAAAAACAGGGUUGUCCUGGUUAAUGGACAAAUACUUUAGUACAAAACAUAAUUUAAAGCAGUGUAAGGGAGAUAAAUCAAAUACAUCAUUGAAAUUAUCUCCCUUACACUGCUUUUAAAUUAUGUAUAAAGUAAUGGUUAAUGAACAAUAAAGAUAAUUUAAAACAGUGUAAGGGAGGUAAUCCAAAUACAACGUUUUAGUUACUUCCCUUACACUGCUUUUAAAUUAUGUUUAAAGAAAUGCAUAUUUAUAAAGGAAGACCAGUAAAAAUAUCUGCAAAUGUUGCAUCUUUUUUUUUUACAAAAAAAUCCAUAUGAAAGAUUUGACACUAUAUUUUUAAUUCUAUUAUAAAAUAGAUUAAGUUAGCACUAUGGUAAAUUUAAAUGGGUAAUUAUGGUUGCCAACUCCAUUGGAAAUUUGAAUUGAGAUUAUGACUAUAUCUUGAGGGAAAGAAUUUUUUGGGGGAAAAAAGGUGGGG